CCCUUAGACGUUCUGGGCCGCACGCGCGCUACACUGACCAGUGCAACAAGCAUCCGUCCUUGGCCGACAGGCUCGGGCAAUCUUUGAACGCUGGUCGUGAUGGGGAUAGACUUUUGCAAUUUUUGGUCUUCAACGAGGAAUUCCUAGUAAACGCAAGUCAUCAACUUGCAUUGAUUACGUCCCUGCCCUUUGUACACACCGCCCGUCGCUUGUACCGAUUGGAUGGUCCGGUGAAAUCUUCGGAUAGCUGGUAGUUGGCUUGCCAUCUACUGCUAAAAGUUGCUUAAACCUUAUCAUCUAGAGGAACAAGAAGUCGUAACA
RNAcentral lists this ribosomal RNA (321 nucleotides) under uncultured eukaryote. RNAcentral's name for it is "partial 18S ribosomal RNA". It matches the Rfam family "Eukaryotic small subunit ribosomal RNA", at positions 1470 to 1796 of the family's 1831-position model. The record is from RNAcentral.